Carassius auratus (goldfish) is the source of this 4206-nucleotide long non-coding RNA. RefSeq lists it as uncharacterized. NCBI's taxonomy places the organism in Eukaryota, Metazoa, Chordata, Actinopteri, Cypriniformes, Cyprinidae. The transcript has 10 exons. The record is from RefSeq and is a predicted model, not a curated record.
GGGAUCGCGAAUCAUUUGAACCAGUUCGGGAGUUCGUAGCGGGUUAGCGAAAGCAUCGAUUCAACGUCGAAAACACGUUGACUCAUCAACCGACACAGCCUAUGCAUCUGAUCGAAAUCAUAGUCGGAUCUAUGUUGAAACUUGAUCAGAGGCAUCGGAGAUCUGCGCGUGCACUCUCACAGAAAAAAAAAGGAGAAAAACUAAAUGUAUUUUUCUUCAUUAUUUUAUAUAGCCUUGUGGGGUGUCCAUCUGCCACUGAAUGUGUAUUUUUUUAAGGAAACAAACGGUGAGAAAACAAAUAGAGUGCAAGCGUUAGAGGGUCAAGUCAACUAUUAGGUCUCACAGUAUACACACACAAGCAGAGUGUUUCUGUAAAAUUAAAUAAAUGUAAAUUCGGCGUGUUUUAAUGAGCGCGCGCUGAACAUUGGAGUAGCUUUCAUUCAGAUUCAAACACUGGAGCGGAGGGAGUUGCCAUGGAAACGUGGCAAUCGACAACACUGUCAAGCUGCAGCUCUGUUUCUCACUGCUGUUUUCACUGCUUUCGAUUCUUCUAGUGUUUGAUGGCCUUCUGCAUUCCAGAGUCUGAGCAAACCUCCUGUCCAACAACAUCUCCAAGGCACACUGAACCAAAUGACUAGCAGGCCAUCCUGCUCUCACAGUACACACCUUGUUCUCACACAGUGACAAGGGGAAUAGAGGAAACUGACAACACACAGACAGAAGAAGACAGAGAAGGUCACUUCUGAACCAUCAAAGUCCUCAUCUUCUGUGUCUGAAUUGAACAGCUGGGCAGCAGCUUUUGAACAGCUUUCACCAUCAAACAUGCCGGGUUCCCUCUCAUCAUGGUUUAUCCUGCCAGAAUACGUAGUCCUCGCGUGUGGAGACUUCAGAAGAUGUCAGACCUCACAAAGAUUUCAGAUGAUGGAAACUAUAGAUGAACAUGCAAAGUUGCUAAAUAAUCCCUAUAAAUUAAUCAUUGCCCUAAAAGAUUCUUCUAGUGUUUGAUGGCCUUCUGCAUUCCAGAGUCUGAGCAAACCUCCUGUCCAACAACAUCUCCAAGGCACACUGAACCAAAUGACUAGCAGGCCAUCCUGCUCUCACAGUACACACCUUGUUCUCACACAGUGACAAGGGGAAUAGAGGAAACUGACAACACACAGACAGAAGAAGACAGAGAAGGUCACUUCUGGUAUUAAACAAGUUUUCAGCUCUCAAAUUUGGUCCCUUUUUUUUUUUAAAGAAAUUCAAACAAUAAAUAGUGUUUUGUGCUGUUUUAAUAUGUUACAGAUCACUGUAGUGCCUCAGUUCAGCAGCACACAUGAACCGAUUGAUUUAUAUUUAAUUUAAGCACAAAAUAAAAGAUGUCACACGUCUUUAUACAACAUUUUUCAAGUUUAAGUCCACACGAAAUUAAUCUACUUUCCUGUCUACCGUAUUUUCUGCACCAUAAGGUGCACUGGAUUAUAUGGCGCAGUCUCAAAACUGUGAGUUUAGUUCUACUUUAUUCUACUAUUUAACAAUACACCCACAUUAUUUUUUAAUCAAUUUUCUCCCACAGAACCAUCAAAGUCCUCAUCUUCUGUGUCUGAAUUGAACAGCUGGGCAACAGCUUUUGAACAGCUUUCACCAUCAAACAUGCCGGGUUCCCUCUCAUCAUGGUUUAUCCUGCCAGAAUACGUAGUGUAGGUAUUACAUCCCUGUGUCAGCGGGAAAUGGUCCGACAGUCAGCCUCGCGUGUGGAGACUUCAGAAGAUGUCAGACCUCACAAAGAUUUCAGAUGAUGGAAACUAUAGAUGAACAUGCAAAGCUGCUAAAUAAUCCUUAUAAAUUAAUCAUUGCCCUAAAAGGGAGGAACUUGUCAGCAAAUCUACUUCACAGCACAUCAGUGAAAGCAGUUGACAGUUACAAACGUGUGUGUUGGAUCAGGGUCAGAUCUGAAUUCUGAUGGUUUCCUGUGAUGACUGUUGAAGAGAUCAGCGCAUCAGAUGUUGGCCUGGACAGCUGUACACCUACAGUACACCACACUGACUUCUUUGCAUGGAUAGCUGACUACUACUAUGUUCUGUAAAGGUAUUAUUAUAGCAAACCUGAGCACCUGUGACAGUGGAAAUGUUGUAAUGAAUAGUCACACAUGCAAAUUUGUAAAUUGAAAGUCACAGAUACAUAUAUAUAUAUUUUACUAAUUCUCUUCAGCAAACACAACACAACAGUUACACCAUUUCAUAUUCAGAGGUGCACAAACCUUAUUCUACAAAUAAGAGAACAACAGCAUAGACCCUUUGCACGUGACGUCACCCUCUACUUGCGCGAAUUGUGAACGCCAUGACGAACGGCAGAAGAGCUUUGCUGUAGGACGGACGGCAAGCCAAACGAGUACGAGUUUGUGUUCGUUCAUGUAAUAAAAAUGUUUGUUUUGUUUUUUUACUUGUAAGCACAGUGCAGUGAUAAUGGUCAAACUGUGUAUUUACAAUGUUAAAGUGGCCGACAACAAUAAAUAUUCUCUUUAGGAAUAAAACUGCAAUGUUUUUUAACUGUGCAGAGCAGUAACGUAAGCUGAAUAGUUAAGCCUACUACGCUACUGUAAUUUUAAUAUUGGUCAUUGUGGAGGUACUUGGACGGCCAAAUAUUUUCUGAGGUGGUACUUGGUAUAAAACGUUAUAGAUCAACUGCAUUAGAAAGUUGCAUUGGCACAGUGAACAACGGUAACUUAAGUGGGUAGCCACAAAUGACCAGGUCCUCUAAAAACAGGUUACAUUACGUUACAAAGAACUGGUAAGCAUCCAGGCUUUUAAAAGCUUUGACAUCAGCACCAGUGUAUGUGGAUACCCCGUUUACCACAUAGUGGUACAGAUUGUGGGGAAUGAAGUUGGGUAGACUCUGUGAUUUAAUGAGGUCUGUGAAAAUGGAGGGAAAAGGUAAGGAUCGGUAUCCAAUCCUACGAUCUCCAAGUUCUCCAAAUACCGUUCUUUGUGAGCACCUACCAGAUGCCGUACCUUGACCGAUAACGACACCACAGCUUGUUCAAUAGAAGAAGCCAUAAAGUUUAGUGUUAUUUAUUUUAAACUGAAUGAAACUUCCCUCUCGUCCACUACUAUUUAGCUUGUGCUUCCGGUGAUUCUGCCGUCUGUCAUGGCGUCGUCGCAUGGUCGUAGUCACGUGUUUGCAAAGGGUCUAUAAAAGUGCUCAGUUUAGCCCCUUUCACACUGAGAUUCUAGAUACUACAUGGGUAAUGUGUCCUGCCAAUUGUUCCCGGAUCGUUCAAUUUUGGUUCAUUCACACUGCCAGUGAUUUUCUGGAAUCUGUGUGUGCGUUCACACACAAACCAUAAAGAUCCCAUAAAGACACAUGACAUUACGAUGUGACGUGUUUUGUUUCACUUAAGCUGGCGAACGAUGUCAGCCUCAGAACGGAUAUUGUGGAACUAACUGAUCUCUGCUUCAUUACAAUUUGCACAUAUUUUUUCGUCACAAACAUUGAUCUGCCUUUUUUUUGGGACCACCGUGCAUUGUGAAAGGGGCUUUAGUCUAGCAUACUACAAAUAAGUUAUUUAUUUACUAUUAUUAUUAUUUUACAAAUUAGAGCAAAUUGAAUGGAAAUUAAUUGAAUAGAAAAGGUAAGUGCUUUGGAAAUAACAGAAGACUCAGCUGCUCAAAUUAAUAAAGGCAGGUCAUUCUACCAUGAUCUUCUCUACAAAUAUUACUAUUCUCAUAAAGUCUGUAAAUAUGUCCAAUAAACACAUUUCAGUAAAAAAACUAUUCAAUAAUAUGAGCAAAAUGAAAUGCAGCCCUGCAUAAAUCUGGUGUAACUGAGGCUGUGAAUUUGUUAAUUUGUAGAAUAGGAUUUAUGCACCUGUAGAGAAGAUUUUGAGAAGGUUUUGUUGUGUUUGUGAGAGAGAAAGAAACAAAAUACAAGCUUGCAACUCCGAAAACACUUUCUUGAUGAUUUAUUGAAAUAUUCUCUACAAAUACAAAUUCCAAUGUCACAAGUGCUCAAUUUUGUUAUAAUAAUGUACAAAGUGUCUCGAUUGUACAGUAGAUGUACUGUAUGCAAAUAUAACAAAGGGACAUUAAUAACUGAAUAUUCAGGGGAUGCAAACUUACCACUUUUAAGUAAAAAUUUACAUUUUGAAUCCAAAAAUCAUUUGCAUGUUUUGUGUAGAUCCAAAGAGUUUUUAAAAGCUUAUUAGUUAAAUAGCACAUGCUAAAU